RNAcentral lists this ribosomal RNA (484 nucleotides) under uncultured bacterium. RNAcentral's name for it is "partial 16S ribosomal RNA". It matches the Rfam family "Bacterial small subunit ribosomal RNA", at positions 30 to 507 of the family's 1533-position model. The record is from RNAcentral.
AUUGAACGCUGGCGGCAGGCCUAACACAUGCAAGUCGAGCGGAUGAAGGGAGCUUGCUCCUGGAUUCAGCGGCGGACGGGUGAGUAAUGCCUAGGAAUCUGCCUGGUAGUGGGGGAUAACGUCCGGAAACGGGCGCUAAUACCGCAUACGUCCUGAGGGAGAAAGUGGGGGAUCUUCGGACCUCACGCUAUCAGAUGAGCCUAGGUCGGAUUAGCUAGUUGGUGGGGUAAAGGCCUACCAAGGCGACGAUCCGUAACUGGUCUGAGAGGAUGAUCAGUCACACUGGAACUGAGACACGGUCCAGACUACUACGGGAGGCAGCAGGGGGGAAUAUGGGACAAUGGGCGAAAGCCUGAUCCAGGCAUGCGGCGUGUGUGAAGAAGGCCCUCGGAUUGUAAAGCGCUGUAAGUUGGGAGGAAGGGCAGUAAGUUAAAACCUGGCUGUUUUGACGUUACCCACAGAAUAAGCACCGGCUAACUUAGUG